GAGGAGGAGCCCGGAGAUGGGCACUGAGACAAGGGCCCAGGCCCUAUGGGGCGCAGCAGGCGCGAAACCUCCGCAAUAGGCGAAAGCUUGACAGGGUUACUCUGAGUGAUUCCCGNUAAGGGAAUCUUUUGGCAUCUCUAAAAACGAUGCAGAAUAAGGGGUGGGCAAGUCUGGUGUCAGCCGCCGCGGUAAUACCAGCACCCCGAGUGGUCGGGACGAUUAUUGGGCCUAAAGCAUCCGUAGCCGGUCUUGCAAGUCUUCCGUUAAAUCCACCUGCUUAACAGAUGGGCUGCGGAAGAUACUACAAGACUAGGAGGCGGGAGAGGCAAGCGGUACUCAGUGGGUAGGGGUAAAAUCCUCUGAUCCAUUGAAGACCACCAGUGGCGAAGGCGGCUUGCCAGAACGCGCUCGACGGUGAGGGAUGAAAGCUGGGGGAGCAAACUGGAUUAGAUACCCGGGUAGUCCCAGCUGUAAACGAUGCAGACUCGGUGAUGGGCCGGCUUCAUGCCGGCUCAGUGCCGCAGGGAAGCCGUUAAGUCCGCCGCCUGGGGAGUACGGUCGCAAGACUGAAACUUAA
Molecule: ribosomal RNA, 577 nt
Filed under: uncultured archaeon
Lineage: Archaea
Description: bacterial SSU rRNA
Rfam family: Archaeal small subunit ribosomal RNA
Source: RNAcentral